RNAcentral lists this long non-coding RNA (503 nucleotides) under Heterocephalus glaber (naked mole-rat). Its description in RNAcentral is "lncRNA (ENSHGLG00100049896.1)". Lineage: Eukaryota; Metazoa; Chordata; Mammalia; Rodentia; Bathyergidae. The record is from RNAcentral.
GGGAGAUUUCGGAAGUCUUGGCACCGGCCCUGGCUGCAGCGGUUGGGCUGGGCUGGGCUGAGCUGAGUUGAAGGCGCGAGUGGCUGAAUCGGGAAGGAGGACCCCCGAGGAUCCCCGAGCUUUCUGAUCGUGGCGUGCUGAGCUGUUGCCUUCUGUCCGAUCCCCGACCCGCAGACAGAGAUGGAGAGGCACAGGCCGCGGCUGCACCACCCGGCCCAGGGCUUCGCCGCCGGGGCCCCCUAUCCCUCCUCCGCCUCGCUCCGCAGCUGCCGGGAAAGCAAGAUGUCUCGCAGGAAGGGCCCUCAGCACCCUCCGCUGCUCGGCAGCCUCGAGGAGCCCGGGGGAGAAACGCUCCAAGUUUAUCAAGUCUUCAGUAAGUUAAUUGAAUCCCAUUAGAAGACCGCAAGUCAGGCAGCUUCAAAACUUAAAAAAGGAAAAAUUUUAAAAAACCAACAACUGUAACAAAAAAGCAUUUAAAUAUUAGGAUACUGACGGAUGAUAUG